Homo sapiens (human) is the source of this 1797-nucleotide long non-coding RNA. Ensembl annotates it as ALG1 like 9, pseudogene. Its record names the gene ALG1L9P. The record is from Ensembl. Lineage: Eukaryota; Metazoa; Chordata; Mammalia; Primates; Hominidae.
CAAGUCCCUCUCCUUCCACCAAGGAGCGCCCAGAGGCCGGCGGGAGCUCCAGGUUCACCUCCUCCUCCUCCAGGGUUAUUUCAAGUCCCAAAAAGCAAGGAUGAACAUCUAGAACGAGAAGAAAAACAAUCUGGAGGGACGACUUGAGAAGGCAUCCUGAGCCUAUGCAGAAAUGCAGAAACACUUCCAUGAUCUAAACAACCUAUGUGAAGGCCUGAAAGCCAAAGCAAGAUCCUCUUAUUACAAAGCUGUCCGACAAAAAGUUUUCCAAGUAACACUGGAGGUCCAUCAGUCACUCUUCCUGGUCUGGAAAUGCCAGAAAUGUCCUCCUUGGUCCUUCUGAGAGUCAAGAUCUUUUCAAAAUCACCUCAGGAGCCACAGAACCACUUCAUCCUACCUGAAAUUGCAGGAUGACUUCUUUUGACCAGAAUCUCAAAAAUAUAUUCGUUGAUAGUUUUGAUUCCUGGGAGCCGCCAUUGCUUGCAAAAGAUGUGCCAGAGACUAGACAUUUUCUGUCUCCUCACUUGUCUGGGGAAGACUGAAGUUUUACAGAAACACAGAGAUGGGAAUCUGACCCUCUGAGCAGCCUCAGGAUUUUCUAAGUCUUCCAAGCAGAGUGGAAAUACUGGAAAUCCCACUUCCAACUGGAUGUCUGGAUGAACUACUGAAAGCUGCUGAGUGUCCUGCAGCAGGUGAGCUGUGGCCAGAGCCCAAGGAUGAAGGGGGCUCCCUCACUCUGUUACUGUGAAGAGGAAGCCUGAGGUGUAGCAGGCCCAGGCCCCAGAAGUAUGGAAAAAAAUGAGGUAGGGAGGGAGGGGACCUCAGGAGAAGACUGAGGUCUACAGAAUCCCAGGGUCAAGGGGAUGGUGCAGUGUUCUGGCACUAUCCUUGAUGUUCCAAGAGGGGUGAGAAUCCAUCUCCUGAGUAAAAACUUCACAUGGGGUGAGGAGGGGAGAAGAGAACAGAAAGGAAGCAGGGAAGGCCAAGACAGCCACCAGCCUUACAGCAAUUUUAACCAGAAAUGGACACAGACCCUGGACCCCAUCACAGGAGUGCAGGCCUAGGACUGUCUCCAGGUGAUGCAUAGCUCCCUUGUCAGGUUAGUGGGUUCAGGGAUUGUGACGUCUGCAGGGGUGUGGAAGGCUGGGCAAUGGGAGCAGCUUACUGGGCUGGACCAGAAAUACUGAACUUCUUUUCCAUCAGUGAAAUCCACUUCUGGGUCAGAAAAAACUGUGAGUUCUAGAGGGGCAGGGCCUAGGAGGAGGUCAGGUCCUGAGCCUUCCUGGUUUGACCCCCUCCCACCCCCUGUGUUUCUGGGUCUGUCCUCACUUCCACCCAGCGGAUCCUGAGUCUCUUCCUUUGAGUCCCUGUGAGUGUGUUGUGUGCAGUGGGGCCGGGCUGCUUCAUCCACUGCACGUUAAAUGUUUCCAACACUUUCCGGCCAAAGCUUAGAGUUGUCAGACCACCGACUUUGAAUGUUGACCUGGUUCCUUGUGGAACAGAGUAAUAGCUAUUGAAGUUUAAAGUCACUUUCCUGCGUGGAUGGUGAAGAGGCAGGCUGUUCAGGCAUAACUGCCCUCAGGCCUGGAGGGCUGUGGAGGUCACCGUUGGCGGUGGGUGGAUCUGGAACCUCUGUGGCUCUAGACUUUCAACUAUUUCAUUUUUUCUUUUGUAGUUUUUGUUUGUUGCUUGCUUUUUUACAAUGGGAACUAGAAUGUAAGAUGCCAAACUCAGCCUGUGGGGAACAUGGAUUUUCACAACAGCAACCACAGAGCGUGGUUUCCAUUUCUAUUCCCU